AUUGAACGCUGGCGGCAUGCUUUACACAUGCAAGUCGAACGGCAGCGCGGGCUUCGGCCUGGCGGCGAGUGGCGAACGGGUGAGUAAUGCAUCGGAACGUGCCCAGUAGUGGGGGAUAGCCCGGCGAAAGCCGGAUUAAUACCGCAUACGACCUGAGGGUGAAAGCGGGGGACCGAAAGGCCUCGCGCUAUUGGAGCGGCCGAUGUGGGAUUAGCUAGUUGGUGGGGUAAAGGCUUACCAAGGCGACGAUCCGUAGCUGGUCUGAGAGGGCGACCAGCCACACUGGGGCUGAGACACGGCCCAGACUCCGACGGGAGGCAGCAGUGGGGAAUUUUGGACACUGGGGGCAACCCUGAUCCAGCCAUGCCGCGUGCGGGAAGAAGGCCUUCGGGUUGUAAACCGCUUUUGUUCGGGAAGAAAUCCUCUGGGCUAAUACCCCGGGGGGAUGACGGUACCGGAAGAAUAAGCACCGGCUAACUACGU
This 483-nucleotide ribosomal RNA is filed under the name uncultured bacterium. RNAcentral describes it as "partial 16S ribosomal RNA". It matches the Rfam family "Bacterial small subunit ribosomal RNA", at positions 28 to 506 of the family's 1533-position model. The record is from RNAcentral.